GCCUGGGUGGCUUAGUCGGUUGGGUGUCUGACUUUGGCUCAGGUCAUGAUCUCACAGGCCGUGGGUUCGAGCCCCCCGUCAGGCU
This is a transfer RNA of Felis catus (domestic cat), 85 nucleotides long. It matches the Rfam family "tRNA". From Rfam's summary of the family: Transfer RNA (tRNA) molecules are approximately 80 nucleotides in length. Their secondary structure includes four short double-helical elements and three loops (D, anti-codon, and T loops). The record is from Rfam. Lineage: Eukaryota; Metazoa; Chordata; Mammalia; Carnivora; Felidae.